Non-coding RNA from Acanthosepion pharaonis, 112 nucleotides. NCBI's taxonomy places the organism in Eukaryota, Metazoa, Mollusca, Cephalopoda, Sepiida, Sepiidae. The record is from the annotation of a GenBank genome assembly.
ACAGCCAUGUCAUAUUGAAACACUGGCUCCUGUAUGAUCACUAAGGAUAAGCAAUGUUGAGCCUAGUCAGUACCUAGAUGGGUGACUGCUUAGGAACACCAAGUGCUGUAAG